This is a long non-coding RNA of Gasterosteus aculeatus aculeatus (three-spined stickleback), 28941 nucleotides long. Lineage: Eukaryota; Metazoa; Chordata; Actinopteri; Perciformes; Gasterosteidae. The record is from Ensembl.
AUACAUUCACUUAUAGUACACAAACUUUUUUCACUUAUUUCUGGUGAUAUCCAUGAUGAUAGCGUAUUUGUAAGAAAAACUACAAGUUUAUCAAAACAACACUAGUAUUCUAUCAGCUCUCGUAAAAAAAGUAGAAAGUAAAAGCUCGUCGACAGCCGACAGUAGUGAUCCUACUAAUGUUCCUGUCUUUGUGUGUUCUUUUAUGAACACCAAUGGCUCACAUUGGCAUGUUUACAUUACUCUUCUGUUAGACCUAUUGCAAAUGUAAUGUUACAAAUAGCUUAUUACAUAAAUGGCAGAUGUUUCGAUGGCUGUUCUGUAAAAUAUCCUGACCACUGCAGUGGACUGGAUAAUCAAAGUAUGUGGAAUUCAUUUCUCCAAUUCUGCUUCUUAUUUUUAUUACGUUGGCACGUGGGCGAACGGGAAAGAGAGAAAUCAUUUCUGUUUUCUUGCUUUGGAGUUGAUUUUUUUGUAUGAGUAAAAAUACAAAAUAUAUAAUAUACAAUCAGCUUAAAAAAUGAUGAACGCUUGUUACACUACCAAACAAUGUAGAAGUUCAUAUCAGCUACACCUUAAGCAGAUGAAACAUUCAAAUGCGGCUUUUAAAGAUGUAAAGCCUUUAGCAAUAAGGAAAGCAUCCUAUGACACGUGACAUUUCGCUGCGAUCUUUACUGGUAACAAAAUAUUUAUAUAUACUUCUACUUUUACUGAAGUAAAGGAACUCAGGACAUAAUAAUAAUAAAUCAGGCAACAAAAAAUGUGAUCUUUAUAUGUUAAAAUCUGGAAACCCACCGGUCUUUCCCGUAAAUAAGAGAAAAGUUGCAGUAUGAAGUCAUAUAAAAUGGAAAUAAUGAAGCUUAAGUUGAAUCCAUCAGUCUUACUCUCACCAAACAGCUGCGGCAGUUUCCAUAAGCCAUUCACACCAUUUCUGUCAAACUUUAAAGAAAUGUUUUCCUGUCAGUUGUAAUUUUAACCGGAUCGGAUGUGAGCCUCCUCCACCACUCACCUGCGCUCACCAUCCCGGUCAUGCUGCUCAUUCAUCACCACGACUCCAGGGUCUGGACUCCAAGGGGAAUAGUAAUUGAUUAUCUUCAGGACGGAGAUCCAAUAGCCAAAAGACUUUGCACUACUCAAAUUUUUAUUUUUAUUCUGUUUUUAUAUAGAGAAAGAGAAAUAUAUAUCGAUCAAUUUUAAAUUCAUAGGGCAUGUUUUAAAAUGCUUUCAACAAAAGUUUGGUGACCCACUGAUUGUUGGAAGUUAAAAACUUGUUUCUUCUACCCACAAAAUGAGCUAUUACAGGUGUGACCAUAGGAUCAUUUGAGUCUGUGUAAUUUAAUAUAUACCUAUCUGAAUGACAAAAAGUCAAUACCCUACCAAAUACAUUUCUGGAAAAGAGUUUGGAAAUCUUGUGAAAAGGAAGAAAUGGAAGCAACCACUAACGCUGCUUGUGGAAUAGUAAACUUCUUGUAAAGCUGACAGCUGGUGAAUACGGGUGCUAUAACGCGGUCAAUUAUAAUCGAGUUACCGGUCAUGAACACUGGCAGUCAACAGAAUUGCAGGCAUAUCCCUGUGCAUCCCAGAGCAACACGUUCACAUAACAUGUUGACGUAACACUGACCUACGUAACUACUUGAAACAUUUGAAAAAUGUCUGUUGUGAAUCUUCCCAAUGUGUUCUUGAUCUGCUGGCUCAAACAUGCUUGGGUGCAUUAUUGCCUAUUCUCUUAUCAUAUGUACAUUAACAGCAGUAUAUCUUGAGGCUGGAGUGAAGGGGCAGAGUGUUUCUUUACACGAUCACACUCACACGCUCUUUCACUGGCUCUGAGUCAACACCACACUCUGCAAACUGCCUUUACCUCACAGAGCCUUCAGGGGAAUUCACGUCAGAAAUUCUAGUUUUUCAGGCAUUCUCAGUAGGUAAAGCCAUAUAAAACAUCUAUUAACUCAUGUGUUUUGGCCAAAGGGAAGACUUGCAGACCCUGAGGAGACUAUGACAACUUGCUCAUAUGCGUCCUGUUUCUUGCCAGAAGUCAACAAACACUCAGAUUAGUCAGAUCUCUCUUCAUCAACAGCCUUGGCCAAAGUGAGCAGAAACUUACAAAAGAGUGCGGGCUAAUUGCCCUCCUCCCUUUGCCUGCUCUUUCCUCCACUGUAACUUCACUGCUACUGCCACCCAGUGUAUUUCCAUGACAACCUGGGGAUUGUAAGACUGGUAUGGAAACGUCAAACACUUGGUGGUCUCUCGCAUCAUUGCCCACAAAAGCCCGGUGACCUACAUGUGGAGCCCGAUGAAGGCUUUUCCCAGAAGAACAGGCUCAGCAGUAUCCAUGGACGGAACAGAAACACUGUGACCUCCCCUACCCCACAUUUUUAUUUGUCGUCAAUUGCAUGAAGGCAGAAUGAGCAUGAGAAAAGUUGACUACUCUAGUAACAGUGUCACAGUGCAGUGACAUAAUCAUAAAAUGCAAUAAUUAGAAACAAAUCGAGAUUUCUAUAAAUACUUUCGGAUUGAAUUCUACAUAUGUUUCAUAAUGUUGUAAUUGUUACGUUGAUAUUAUCAAAUAUGAAUUCCACCUCGCUUCAUCGCAUAGAAAACUAUGAAAACCCUUCAACCAGAAGACUGCUAUUUGCUCCCCUCGUGAAACAAGAAGUAAACAUUGAUUUAUUCACAUUACCUCUUUGCUAAAAUAACCCCACUCAUGUAGUUACUUUUACCACCCAAAGUUUUACUAAACCUAUCAUGGUAUUGCUAACUAAGCUUCCCGAAAAGACAAUAUGCAUGGGAAUCGAGACGUGUUGCUGUAGGAUAACCCACGAAAAAUGAAUAACUUUUGUUUGAAUUGAGUAAGAUGUGAUACAAACUGUUAUAUGAGGAUGGGCUGGUUCUGUAAAUUUGAGUGCAGAAAAUGAGUCCCAAAUGCUCUCUUGCAAACAAACAUUCCUAGCAUUUGUCUGGCCUAAUCUGGCAACAGCAGAUAGUCUUUAUGGCCGCCCCAUGGCCAUCAAUCAGGCACGCUACUGAGGACCUGGUCGACAGCAGCAGGGGUCCCAGGGUCGCUACGGAGACCGCCUUUUAAAGCGGUCAUAUAAAUAAUAUAGGAAACAAAAAGAAAGGGAAAGACAGAGGGAAGAAGGGCGGAGGGACGGGUCUGUUGUCCUCUUUGGACAGAGCUUCAGCUCGAGUGAGACAUUACUAAGCUGAGUCAACCCCUGAGUUCAUGCAGCAACACAACAGGGUUCACACCAAUACAUUACUUUGUUCCAAUAUUGUACCGUUACUGUCUCUAUAUGAUCGUUUUUAAUAUCAUUCUGAUAUAGCAUACAUGACUAUAAAAGGCAGGUAAAAUGUCAGGUUUCAUCAGGUAAAGGUUCAACAUUGGGCUCUAUGAAGCCGAUCGUGUGUGCUGUCCAAAAACGGUUCAAUAAAGACUGUUGCUAAACCAGUACGCUGUCUCCUCAUCAUUUCCCAUCCCCCCAAGAGGACCGCACGUGACAGUGGCGCCCAACGUGACUGGCGGAUGGAACUGACCGAUGGCAACCACCAGCAGGGGAUACCGGCCCAGCCGAUUGUGGCGCUCGGCCACAUGAUCAGGGAACUGGCGGCCAUCCAACGGGAGCAGACAGAGGCCAACCGGCUGUUCCUGGCGGCGCUCCAGGCACAGGUGGGGAGACAGGCGCUGGAGCAGCUGACCGCAGUCCGUGCCGCCAGCGCAGGAGCCCGCGGCGUUCGCCGGUCUCACGCUCCACUGAAUGGCGGGGGACGACGGCGUACAGGCGUGCCUGGAGGCCUUCGAGGCGACGGCGGAGGCUUGCGGUUGGCCGGCGGGGGAGUGGUCGGUCCGGCUUUUGCCUCUCCUGGCUGGGGAGGCGCAGACCGCGGCUAUGGGGCUGCCACCGGCGGCGCGGCGCGAUUAUGGCAACGUCAAAAAGGCCGUGACGGACAGGCUGGGGCUGUCGCCGGAGAACCACGCCGGCGGUUCCGGGAGGCCAGGCUGGGGCCGCGGGACCGCCCUGUUCGCGUUGGGCCAGUGGCUGAUAGACGCCGCCACGAGGUGGCUGCAGCCGGACGGCGCUCGGGGGGUCCAAGGGGUGAUUGCGCGGGUGGUGCUGGAGCAGUUCGGGGAGCCCGGCUCUCGGGGGGCUCUCGGCCCGGACGCCGGCGUGGCUCCGGUGCCACCGUCCAACGACCCUGGAGGCGGCCAUCACCCUGGCAGAGGACCAUCUGGCGGGGCAUCCCAGCGGGCAGAGGGACCGGGAGAGUUCGCCGGUGUCUGCCCGACCAGGAGCUGCGCCGCGGGGAGGGAGGCUGCCGCGGACGGAGGAGCAACCCAGACUGGCUCUGCGACAGGCACCUUUUUCCCCAGCCCGCGACCCACCGGCCCCGGGGAACCCAGGCACCCUUCUCAACUCACAGAGAGGUUCUCAAGCGCCGGGGCAGGAGUGUUGGAGGUGCGGGCGGCUUGGUCACCUCCGGAGAGAGUGCCCGCUGAUGGAGGUGGGACAGGCGAUCCGAGUGGCCGGCGUUCCGGCACCCUCCCCCGGUCCGGGAGCGACGUACCGCGUUCCGCUAAGAAUCCAGGGGGGUACACGCCAGGUGAUGGUAGAUUCGGGCUGCACGCAGUCUAUGAUUCACCAGAGCCUGGUUCGGCAGGGAGCAUUGGUGGAGGCAGACCGGGUGAGAAUACGCUGUGUGCAUGGGGAUGUUCACGAGUAUCCUGUGGUAUUGGUGGAAAUUAGAUAUACAGGGAAAAAGCAUAGAAUAAAGGUCGCGGUUAGCUCCCGCCUGACGCACCCCGUCAUUUUGGGUACAGAUUGGUCGGGGUUUGAUAAGCUAAUGGGGGGGCGUUCACGACCAACAGGGUUAUGCGAGAUGUGUGCUGUGCUCAGCGGUGACGCGGGGUCGUCCGACACUGCAGACGGGGAGGGGGAACCCGCGGAGCGGACCAUGUGAUACGUAUUGAUGGUCACCUGGUGCGCCCUGACGCAGCGCAGUCAUUUCCGCACUUUUCAUUGAUUAGGGACAGACUGUAUAGAGUGAGUCGUGACACUCGGACGGGGCAGGAAAACACUCAGUUGCUGGUGCCGAAAAGCCGCCGGGAAAUGAUUUUCCAGGUGGCUCACUAUAACCUGAUGGCUGGUCACAUGGGAUACGAAAAAACGCUAGACCGGAUAAUGACCCGAUUUUAUUGGCCAGGCAGCCGCCGGUGCGCGUCCCGCCCAAGUGUCAGUUAGUGAACGCUCCGCCCAUUCCGAGGGUGCCGUUGCGUCCUUUGCCGUUGGUGGAGGUUCCGUACGAGCAGAUCGGCAUAGACCUCAUUGGGCCGUUUUCCCGGAGCGCACGCGGAUAUGGCUUUGUGUUGGUCCUCAUGGAUUACGCAAUGCGAUAUCCGGAGGCAGUGCUGCUGCGCAAUAUCUCUGCAAAGAGCGUCGCGCAGGCUCUGUUUCAGGUCAUCUCCCGAGUUGGAAUCCCUGAGGAGAUUCUGACUCACCAGGGCACCUUGUUCAUGUCGCGCACACUGAGAGAACUUUACGGGUUACUGGGCAUUAAGUCCAUUCGUACUAGCGUGUAUCACCCGCAGACGGAUGGGCUGGUGGAGUGUAUUGUGACAAAAUGUCCUGAGCUGUCGUCAGCGUCUCCCGGGAAACGGAGCAGACACACCUGCACCCGCUCAUCACGGGCUGAGCGGCCACACCUGCGCCUGAUCAGAGGCUGGCUUGAUAAGCCUCACAGCCACACACAGAGGGGGAAGAUGUCCAAGCCUCGGCUAACAUUACCUUUGUUAUUUCCCCAGACAGCAGUGCGUGACCGCGAGCCCACGUCUCCCCACGGACUUCACGGACCCACACACCACCGCGCACAGAGAGGAAGAAGGAGAGCCACUAAAUAAAAUCCACCAUUCGGGGUACUCACUGUGACCCUCGUGUUGUGUCCUUCUUCACCCCGUCACAGUAUGAAUAAGACUCUGAAGUUCAUGAUCCGUAAAUUUAUUAGCAAAGAUGAACGUAAUUGGGACCACUGGCUUGACCCUCUGUUUGGCCUCCACGGGAUUUUCUCCCUUUUGAACUUUUGUUUGGCAGGAUGCCGUGAGGGGUGCUGGACCUGGUUAAAGAAAGCUGGGAGGAAGGUCCAAGCCCCUGCAAGAAUGAGAUCCAGUAUGCCCUGGGACCACUGGCUUGACCCUCUGUUGUUUGCAGUGCGGGAGGUCCCCGAGGCCUCCACGGGAAUUUUUCUCCCUUUGAACUUUUGUUUGGCAGGAUGCCGUGAGGGGUGCUGGACCUGGUUAAAGAAAGCUGGGAGGAAGGUCCAAACCCCUGCAAGAAUGAGAUCCAGUACGUCCUGGACCUGCGAGCAAAAUUCCACACACUGGGCCGAAUGUCACAAGAGAAUUUGCUGCAGGCCCAAGAGCGACAACAACGGCUGUACGACAGAGGGGCCAGGCUGCGACGAUUCACACCGGGAGAAAAGGUACUUGUAUUACUUUAUACACUCAACUCUAAACUCCUAGCCAAGUGGCAAGGGCCCUUUGAGGUCACACGGCAGGUCGGGGACGUCGACUACGAGGUGGUGCAGUCUGACAGGGGCGGGGUACACCGAUAUACCGCCUGAACCUCCUGAAAGCCUGGAGUGGGGUGGAGUCCGUCUCUCUGGUCUCUACGGCAUCGGAAAGGGAGGAGCUGGGGCCGGAGGUUCCAAAAGCAGGUAAUCAUACCUUGCUCUUUCGAGAGGCUCGUCUCUCCGAGAGCCAGAGGGCGGACGUUGCCAGGUUGCAGGUUUGCUAAUGUGUUCUCUCCCUUGCCAGGCCGGACCGACUUUAUAGUGCACAGUAUCGAGACGCCCCCGGGCGUGACGGUGAGGUCACGGCCCUACAGGUUGCCCGAACACAGGAAAGAAGUGCUUCGGAGGGAAUUAGCGAGUAUAUUGGAGUUGGGGGUAAUAGAAGAGUCCAACCGUGCCUGGUGCAGCCCCAUUGUCCUUGUGGCUAAGAAGGAUGGAUCUGUACGGUUCUGCGUGGACUAUCGGAGGGCGAAUGACGUGUCACGGUUCGAUGCCUACCCAAUGCCCCGGGUCGACGAACUCCUGGACCGGCUAGGCACUGCAUGUUUCUUCAUGACACUGGAUUUAACCAAGGGCUACUGGCAGAUUCCUCUGUCGCCAGAGUCCAAGGAGAAAACGGCAUUCUCCACCCCAUACGGUUUGUACCAAUUUACCACGCUUCCCUUCGGGUUGUUUGGGGCCCCGGGCCACGUUUCAGCGCCUCAUGGACCGGGUGCUGCGUCCGCACGCUGCAUAUGCUGCCGCCUACCUGGACGACGUCAUUAUCCACAGCACCACCUGGGCGGAGCAUGUGCGGCAGGAGACAGGAAGUUCCUGAUUUUUGAUGUUACGUAGAUGAAAAAAGGCAGUCCUUGAAGUCUUAUAUCUAACCAACAACCCAUCCUGCAAAGUCCUUUGAGGCAUUCUUUCUGAUGUAUGCCAGACUCUCUUCCACCACUAGAUGAUGCUCAAGUGUAGGACAAAGUACUGUGUAGAAAGUGUAUUCCAUAUGUAUACACUCACUGCAUGUGUGUGCCCACGAGAAUUUGUCAAAACAUCCUUGCCAGUUGUCCCUCCAAAUCUGUUUUACCUGCAGUCACCUGCAGUCAGCCUCUAUAGAGAUGACUCAGAUGGAGGCAAUUACAAGAGCAAACAACGGAAAACAGAUGUGCAAUUAUGAGAACAGAGGUCUGCACUAACCCCAUGCUCAUUGCCCCAGUUUUGCAAUCAACAAUGCAAUCCACAGCAAAAAAAAACCCUAAUUGAGUCCUCACCACACCUAAAGCGCUACACACACUGAUCAUCAGAAACACAAGUAAGACUCAAAUCACCUGCUCGUCACAAGGUGCUUUAACAAAACAGUCACCUUAAAUGUUGGAUGGAUUUUUAAAGGACCAAUAAACUGAAUGCAAGGUAUGGUUUCAACAGUACGGGGAUCCAAAGCUGUGCAAAUUAAUUAGUACCUUCUGACUGAGGCUGCCACACACUAAAUAACAUCUGUUCAAACACCAUGACACAAAUUAACUCAAUCAACCAUACAGGCCUAGAUGACAUUAUACAACAUCUCAAGUCAUAUUCCUGCUGCUUAGGUAUUCUUCUAACAGACUUUUUCAAAAUUACUUCAAACUCCAUGACCACCUAUCUCUUACAAUUUGUAAACACAUCCCUCCUCUCCGGUGUCUUCCCAAAGCCCCAAAAAACUGUUAACUGUAAUUAAACAACUCCUAGAAGGGUAAUUUAGAAGUCGCAAAAAUGGAAAAUGAGCAAACCUGCCUUUUUUAAGUGAAAUAAUUGAAAAGGCAGUUUUUCAACAGCUAAACUACUUCUUGGCCGCAAAUAAUGAUUUCAAUGCCUUCCAGUCCGACUUCCGACAGCACCACCCUACUAAAACUUAUAUUGUCAAGGUUUUACGGUUUAAGGUAAGGUUUUCACACGAUACAUUACAAUACGCGAUACAAUAGCUCUGCAGAUUAGGUAAUUAAUUAAUUAAAUUAAAAAAAAGAACAAAUUAAUCGCAGAUUUUUAAAUCCAUAGAUCUUGAUUAAUGGCGAAAAUCAAUGUUAUUGUUGUUACAAUGUUGUUUUUAAUGAAUGUUUGUUUUACUUCUGAAGACUAAAUCUUCUAAUCUAAUGAGAAAUAAUUUUAGAAAACGUGUAUUUCAGACACUGUUGUUUAAUUGUUAAUGUUAUUUUAAACAGAGGGGCGGCACGGUGGCGUGGUGGUUAGCACUGUUGCCUCACAGCAAGAAGGUCCUGGGUUCCACUCCGCCCAGUGGCCUUUCUGUGUGGAGUCUGCAUGUUCUCCCUGUGUCUGCGUGGGUUCUCUCCGGGUUCUCCGGCUUCCUCCCACAGUCCAAAGACAUGCUCUGGGAAUCAGGUUAAUUGGGGACUUUAAAUUGCCCGUAGAUGUGUGAAUGUGAGUGUGAAUGGUUGUAUGUCUCUGUGUAGCCCUGCGAUUGGCUGGCGACCAAUCCAGGAUGUACCCUGUCUAUCGCCUGAAGUUGGCUGGGAUGGACUCCAGCCCCCCCGCGACCCUGUGUGGAUGGAUGGAUGGAUUUUAAACAGAAAACUACACACAUUUGAUCAUCUUGGAGGCAGAAUUCCACCAGGUGGAAUACGUUGAACUAACAACUUCCUGUGGUCCUUGUGCACUUUGCUCAACUCUCCAUACGUUGAACUAACAACUUCCUGUGGUCCUUGUGCACUUUGCUCAACUCUCCAUUAUUUAACGGCUGUGGCUGUUACAUUUGGCCUGGACGUUUUCAAACCACGGUCUUGUAGGGACACAGUGGUCUUCUGCAGACUGUGUGCCGUGCAGGGUAACAUUAGCUGUUGAGAUGAAAGCAGCCUAGAAGUUAGCUUAGCCUAGCAGCGAGGUUAACAUAGCAGUGCUUCAAGUGGUCCAUUUGUCACUCACCUCCCUUCUAUUUGACACGUGGAGUAAAUCCUCUGCACAGUUCUCAGGCUGUAUGUUGCACCUCUGUUUGUUUUACUUAAAAGCUCUCUCAAUUUUAAUGUAACUGACUGCAGCUAGCGGCCGUUUCGUUUCCGUGGUCAUUUUCCGGCUUAUUCCCGGUCUCGGAAGUAAACAAACGUACGUUAACUACUUUAAAAUAUUUUGUCGGCCACAUUAAUUGCAUAGAUCAAUACGUUUAUGUUGACAGCCCAAACAUUAGCUGUCAAAGCCUCUGCAUCCCUGAUCUCCUUCCAAGAAAUGUUGACCUCUCAGUGACAGUAAUUCCACAAAUAGGGAUAGUGGUGCACACUGUCAUAAAGCCACUCACGAAAGGCGUUCAUGGUGUUCUACUCACUGAACACUUAGUAGGUAAACAGAAGUAUAGUUAUGCGAGGGAUAAAGAAGAGAGCUAGAGAGAUGCUUUCUACUUUCACAUAUAGCUACUGACUGGAUUAAACCCUUGAGUGUCAGUCCCCCAAAUGGCCUUUCAUUCCCGCAGAGGUGUAUUUAAAUAAACUCAGACUCUUCCUACAGACUUCUUAUUUUUUUAAGGGAUGAAUUGUAAGUAAUUUUUUACAACAUCCACAUAACCCCCUCGGUUUCUUUUCAACCAAUGUCAUUAGUAUCUGUACGGCCCACAGUAUGGCAACAUUGUCAGGAAGUGACCACAUUAGGUAAUAACCUAAUGUUUAACUUUCGGAUAGUUAAACGGACAAACUUAGUUCAGUUUCAUAGUUCGUCAUUAUGUUACUGUUAUUUUUCUGCGUGCUAACAAUGUGUUAUUUCAAUUUAAUUUACAUUUAUAUACAGUUGUGCUCAUAAGUUUACAUACCCUGGCAAAAUUACACUUUCACUUAUGGGUAGUGGUUGGGUAAAGCCAUGUAUUAUCAUUCAACCGUAUUUACUCUUUUAAAAUCAUAAUGAUGCCAGAAACUACCCAAAUGACCCCGAUCAAAAGUUUACAUACCCUGGUGAUUUUGGCCUGAUAACAUGCACGCAAACAGGUUUGAAUGGCUACUAAAGGUAACCAUCCGCACCUGUGAUCUGUUUGCUUGUAAUCAUUGUGUGUGUAUAAAAGGUCAGUGAGUUUCUGGGCGCCUCACAGACCCUUACGCCUUUCAUCCAGUGAUGCACUGAUGUUUCUGGAUUCUGAGUCAUGGGGAAAGCAAAAGAAUUGUCAAAGGAUCUGUGGAAAAAGGUAAUUGAACUGUAUAAAACAGGGAAGGGAUAUAUAAAGACAUCCAGGGAAUUGAGAAUGCCAAUCAGCACUGUUCAAACUAAUUAAGAAGUGGAAAAUUAGGGAUUCUCUUGAAACCAAACCACGGUCAGGUAGACCAACCAAAAUUUCAGCCGUAACUGCCAGAAAUUGUUCGGAAUACAAAGCAAAACCCACAAAUAACUUCAGCUGAAAUACAGGACUCUCAGAAAAAAUGUGGUGUGGCAGUUUCAAGAUGCACAAUAAUGGGUUGCAUGGUCAGGUUGCCAGAAGAAAGCCAUUACUACGCAAAUGCCACAAAGUAUCCCGCUUACAAUACGCCAAACAGCAGAGAGACAAGCCUCAAUACGUCUGGAGCAAAGUCAUUUGGAGUGAUGAGACCAAUAUUGAACUUUUUGAUCACAACCAUAAACGUUACAUUUGGAGAGGCCUAUGAUGAAAGGUACACCAUUCCUACUGUGAAACAUGGAGGUGGAUCGCUGAUGUUUUGGGGAUGUGUGGGCUACAAAGGCACAGGGAACUUGGUCAAAAUGAAUGGCAAGAUGAAUGCAGCAUGUCUUAAUUAGGCAACGGUCCAAAACACAAGGCCAAGUCGACCUGUCAAUGGCAAUAGCAUUUUAUGUGUAAAUCGGCUAAAACACGUCACAUGACUUUACUUCACCACUAAGCUAAAGGCAGACCGGUGGUCUAGUGGUGCUGUUGGGUAGUUUAAUUUAGCCACUAGAUUAAAAAUUCAAACUUUGAGAGAAUCAGAAGUGCGAAUACACCAAUUCCCAGUUUUGGGACCCCUGGAGUGCGUCAUCCUGUGUUACCGUGAAUUCAGAAAACAAUGAUUUUCUAGCGAGGCAGCAUUUCAAGACUUCACAACAACACAGUGACUGCUGGUCGUGUCGGCUAUUUAUAUGCUGACACACCUGCACUUUCCCCCUCCUUCUGACUUAUGCAUGCCCCCGCUGACUGAUAAAAACAUGGAGGCCAUGCAGGAUGAAGUGGGCCUCUGCUGAUGAGGGAGAGAUUGAAGGACCCACAUGCGUUUCCUGUGUCUCUCCAGGCUUCUGAGGAGAUCUGCUGCUUACUCAGGAGUGAAAGCCUCAAAUUAAAGUGUUUGUGCUGACAAAGGACAAAUGGGAUUUUUCUUUUGCGCAAACGGUGCAGGAUUGUGUUGGCUUGCUCAAGUGUCAGGGAAAAACGUAAUGCUGGUCGACACCUCUAAUGAAAAAUGUGCAUGAAAUUAAGUACUGCAUAUUGCUUCCAAUUUUUAAGAGUUGUACGUGUAUAAAGAGGUUGGCAAAGGAAGAAGAGUGGGAAAAAAAGAGAGAUACAGCUAGAUGCAAGAAGAAGCAAACAGAGAAAGGGAUGGCUUUCUUCUCUCCUGUGUAUAGAUAUGUCUUUUUGUACCCUUGAAGGAGUUAAUUGAAUAUUCAUGAGUGAGCAUGAAUAAGUGCUCUGUCAGCCAGAAGUGUCACUGAUAGAUGAGGGGUGGACCUGCAUGGUGCUCCAAUGGCCAGCAAUGAUCCUCCAUAGAGAGCCAGAGCCUCAGGUACAGAGAAGGCUCGCCCUGGAAAUAGCCAAAUAUAAAGGGCUGAACUUCAAUAUAUGCAUAUACUGAGCUCCGCCUUUAGGAGGCAUGUCACCGGAAGAUAACCCCAAUGUUGACUGGGCAGCUUGAUUGGAUAUCACUGGAGAGUGGAAAAAGUGAGCCAAAAACUGAUAGAGAGAUUACAAUCUGGGGGUCUCUAUUUGUUUUCCACAGAGCGAGUCCACGGCCCAGACACUCACUCUAAUUUUGUCUGACAAGUUCUCACGGUUGCUUUUCAAUCCCCACUGUCUACUUUCUCCUCUCCCCCCUCCGCAAGAGAAGGAGGGCGACAAACACACACACACCGAUCAUUUCACCGCUGAUAUUUUGCUAUGAUAAUUUUAUUCAUGAUGCCACUCCUCGGCCGCUGUGCAACUCGUCUGUACAAGUGCAAAUGAGGAGUGUUCCAAAUGUAAAAUGUUCUGCUGAGGGGGAUCAACGACGCUCUGUGGCCAAAACAAGGCUAUAUACAAAAUGAGUUUUGUUCCAGUACACAGGCUGGCUGGUCCGCACCAACUCCAGUUAGCGUGGCUGGCUCCACCAACAUACACCAGAUGGCCUCCUCCCCAGGCAGAGAGAGAGACAGAGAGGGAGAAAAAACACGCAAAGAGAGAAUGAAAGGGGAAAAGCAUUGGUGCUUGACAUGCAUGUCCCAGAGGUGCCAUGCUCAGUCAGAGUAAUAUCUAACACUGGGCUUGGCUGAUACUAGAGCUCAUCUAAUGUGGAGACUAACUGACUGGAAAACCUAAAUCCCGCAAAUCAGAUAUAGGCAACCUUAUUUCAUCUUCCCUCUCUUUCUUCCAACUCAAUACUCAUGGGGACUUUUGGCAUGGAUUGGAUAAACCAAAUAAACGUAACUUAUUUUGUUAAAUAAAACAAAGAGGUUUUAAUGACAGAAUUAUCCCAUCCUCAUAUAAUAUGUUGGAAAGGCAAUUUUAUUUCAACACAUUUCAACAACAAGGUAAUUCAAAGUGCUUCACAUAAAACCAUGUGAAAAAAACAACACACAAAGAGGGGAGAUUUACAAAAAGUUAAGAACAUUGAUUGAAACAUUAAAAAAAGUCAUUCAAAAUAUGAAAUUAGACGUUUAAAAAUAGAAUAGAAUAAAAAUAGAAUAGAAUUUGCAGUGUAGCUUAAGAAUUCCAAAUGGCAGAAAUGGUCAAGUAAAGGCAAAUACAAAAAUCUUAAAUGUGGAUUUAUAAGAGCUGGGCAACUCAGCAGACCUGCAGCUUUCUGGGACUUUCCAGAUAUUUGGAGCAGAAAACCUCCAUGUUUAGAUCCGACUAUGGGAACAGGAAGUAGACCUGUCCCAAACGACCGGUCCGUGGCAGUUCAUAAAAUAUCAGCAGAUCAGAAAUGUACUGUGGCCCUGAACCAUUCAGUGCUUUAUAACCAACAGCAGCAUUUUGGUCCUGGUGACUUUGAUAUUUGUCUAAAUUGCUGGGGACCGUUUUGCAUGAAUAAAUAAUACAUUAUACAAAAACGUGUUUAAUUACCAUGGCAAUUCAAUAGACUGUAGACUGGCCGGCAGUUGACUUUUUGUGCCAUGAGACUGGAGUAGUUUUAAUCCUUUUAUCAAACUCAAAGACACUCGAGAGUUGGUGCAAGGAACUUGUGAUAGAUGUGGUUUUAAUCAGAAAAAGAGUAGCUCAUUAUGCCAAGUGUUGUCUCAUUUGUUAAGAGCAGCAUAAUUCUAUUUUUGCAAAAGUAUACUACAGGUAUAAAAGUAUUUGUAAAUGAUAAGAAGUAAAUAACAAAUUGCUGAAAUGCACUCUAGGAAACCAACGGCAAUCGGUUGAAAAUUACUUUUCUUUUUAUUGUUUUAAAAUUAGCUGAUAAAAUGCUACUUAAAAAUUAUCUUGUGGUGGACAAUUGUCUCUCAAUUCCACCCUUGCAUUGGAAAGAGUAACAUUUAUUGAUUUAGUCUACAAUGGGGCUAAAGGCGUAUAUAUAAGUACUCGAAAGAUGUAAAAAAAAUGUCCAAAAGCCAUAACACAGAUGGCCCAGUGGCCAAUCUUUGCAUCCCACUGCUCUGUUUUCAUUCCUCCCUUUUGGUGAUAAUGUAUUGUCUACAGGGUGUGUAAUGAUCCUCCAGAGCAGUCGUCUACCACUAACAGGCACUUCUGUCAAACACAUUACCAUCGCUGUGCUCAUUGAUUUGUGUUGUCUUUAAAAUAGGUUGUUUCAUCCAGUUGGGUGCAGUCGUAAUUGUAUCUUGCCUAAAUGAUUCAAAUAAGGCGGUCUACCGCUCUUAUUUCCAUUUCCCCUCCCUGCACUGUCAUUGUCACCCUCACUUAUUUCAUUACGGAUUCAGUAGACUUGAUAAAACAGCAGGGGUGCCCCAUUCUACAGCGCUUAGCCAGCCCGGCCGAGACAAAGAAGUGGUCAAGCGGGGAAACAAAUCACACCAAAUGGACCGUUUGCUCUUUGUGCAGCCUAGUUAUGGAAAACUGAUAGCCACAUUCAGAAUACUGAAUAGGUGUAAUAAAUGCUGAAGAAGGGGGAAUCUUUUGCUAAUUGGGUAGAGGGGAGGAGGCGGGGGGGGUGUAAAAGAAACGGCGUUCCCCUUUUUGUAUCUAAAAAUAAGUUCUGUGAAAUACUCUAAUAGCCUGUACACAGUUAAAAGGGGCAGUGCAAUCACCCCACUUCGCCCCUCCUUCUCCUCAAAGCCAUCCCAUCCUGUCUUUGGGCUGACAGAUAAACAUUCUCUGCUUGCUAAUUGCAAUGUUUUUACCCGGUCUCAAGUGACAGGCUGGCAAUGUCUACGUGGAGCCUCAGAUCGUACUCUUGGGGGACCAUUUCUGGUCAAUUCGCAUGAAUUGCAUCAUUCGCAUGGAGAAAGUGGAGGAUAAUGUAUCUUGAAGCACACUGUGUAACUUUGUGAAUGAUUGGAUGAGUUUACAGUUAAACAGGCAUUGUAGGAUUAACUAACAUGACAAAUGCAGCAGGAAUUAUGACAGCACCUGUUUAAUGAUAUCAUCGUCAACAAGAGAAAAAAAGCAAGAAAAACAAUUUAGGAACUCCUCUUCCAACUACAAUAAAGAUGGUCACAUUCAAUCUCUGGCCAUGUCCAUCAAUAUACAUAUGGUUCUUGUAAGUAUUCCAUGGAGGUACCUUUGUCUGAAUGGACUUCAAGCGGUCAUAAAACAUGCAGGCCCCUAGCUGGACACUGCCUCCCGCCAAUCAGAUGAAUAAUAGUACAAAGGGCUGCUAAAUUAUUGAGACAGCUGCUGUGCUCUGGUCCAGCACAACGCUGCUAACAGAUCAGUGCAGAUGAUAUACGAGGCAUUGAGGCCCGCCACCCUCCAGACGAAGCAUUGGCUCGCUUUCUCAGGGAGCAGUCAAAACUCAGGAAGACGUUCAACCCUAGUGUCUGUGGGGUAGAAAAAAGUAAAAACCCACUGCAUAAUAGAAGUGGGACACUGUUUCGAUGAAUCAGAAAUUCUUAGAAGGGUCUGAUCUAUCUUUUUUGACAUGCGAGAGUAGACUAGUGGACAAACUGUCCUCUUUUCUCAGACCAAUGAUGAUGGGCGGGGGGCGGGGGAGGGGGAUAUGGCUGUCUCACACUAUUGAGGAAGUGACCCACAUAUGGGGCAAGGUCAUUGCAAAUCAAUUUAAUUUGGAUUACAGCUAGGAGAGUGAGCUGUAGCUUGGAGAGAGCGGAAGAGAAAGCAUGUUGUUUAAGUAAAACCCUCAAGAACAUUAUGAUUUAUUUAAGUGAGGAGAAAAUAUGAAUUAUGUAUUGGCUAUAUGGAGCAUGCAUCUCUUUUGUACUAAUUGUCAGGAAGGCUUGUAUCCAGUGUGUGAGGGGUGGAGGGGCUGCAGGACCCAGAGAUCACAGGGGCGCUGUGGCUCAAAGCCGCCGGUCCUACAGCUACAGCCAUUGACUUGCAAAUGAGCUGAAGGAGGCUAAUUAAUGGGGGGGCUAAUGAAAGCAGUAGUUGGGCUCAAGUGAAGAAAUAAUCUGGGACCCCCGUUUCACUUCCUCCCUCUUUAUAUGAUAUUCUAGCUCUCUCCCUCUUCCACCAUUCCAGGGCUUGAUCGUCUUCUCUUUUCCCACAAGAAGGCUGGUGCCAUUGAAGUUGAUUGCAGAACGCAUCAAUAUGUGAACAAAGUUGUUGGUGGUGGGGUGCAGUGGUGACUCGGGCUUGUGAUGGGGGGUGUUCGUAAAAUUAGCAUCCAUUUGAAGCGACCCCCUCUCUGUUAUUUAUUCUGUAGCUUUUGGCACAUUUUCUGGUUCUCGACUCCCAGGAGGAGAGAUGGAGGGAGAUGGAGCAGGGUGUUUAAGAUGUGUGACGGGCUGUAAUGGGAACUUUUGCACUUUUUCUUUCUUGUUUGCACCGGAGAGAGUAAAGCAGCAGUGAAAAGGAGAAGUCACCCUCUCCUCCUGAUUGAAUUGUUUGAAGGGUGGAGGAGGAGGCUCGUAUCAGAUACCAUGCCCUGCAGUUGUUUCACUUUGAAGCAGUGUGACUCUCCUCAGUCCAGUGGAACUCCCUUUGACUACCAACACUACAACUACAACUGUUGUGGCAAGUACAUAAAAAAAGAAAGAAACUGCCUCUAUCCAGCAGUGUCUCCGACAAAAUCACGUUCCGAGGGAGUAUAAAACAGUUUGAAACAUUUGGUUAACAUUGUAAAUUCAAACUAAACAUAAACACUUCAACUCAACUACAUGGCUAUGUUAAAGCUACAAAAUAUUGAGUUAAUGUGGUAUUACAGCAGUCCCCAGGAGGAAAGCCCUCUGUUUUGUGAGCCAUCAAAAAACCUGCCAUUAAAAACAGUACAGUAGUGUAACUGCAUAUGUUAUUAUAAAUACUAAAAUAAUGUUUUAUGAAUUUGAAUAUUGGUCUGUCGCCAUACUUUUUGGGGUGUAAAAGCCCAAUAGCCCAAUGAAUAGGGGUGAAUUAUAUUUUAAGCGUCGGCUCACUUGACGUUUCUGUGGAUGCCGGCCCAUAUGGCUGCAGUGUUUGACUGGCUCAAGCAGCCAAACACGUUAUCAUAAAUUAGCUGAAAGCUUGUGCCACUGCACACCUCCAAGUUUAGCUUCUAGGUUGCAUUAUAAUGGAUUUCUUUAAGUUACAAACAUCCUAUGUCUCCUUUCCAUAUUGGUCAGAGCCUAGGAUCCACGUCACUGUUUCCCCGACCAAUAAAAGAGUCUGGAUUUAAAAAAAAGAUAUAUAUAAAAAAAUAUGUAUAUAGACCCUCAAACAUUUAAUCUUCAUUAAAUCAUUUUCUCUGUUCAAAAAACAACAUUAAAUAAAAAUGUUCCAAUAACAGAAUAUGAUUAUAAAUAAAUACAGACAAAUAUUGUAUUCAUUUUUGUAUUAGAUCUGCCCAUUUGCAAGUUUGGUUGCCUGCUUUGCACAGCUUUGUUGCUUUAAACUUACAUUUUUUCUACCAAUCCUACCUUCCUUGAAAAAUGUUAGUUAGGUUAGCUCCAAAAAAAGGGUACAAAGAAAAAAUAAAUACUUUCUGUUUUAGAAUGCACACCAAUUAAUCAUGUCAGUCACUCUGAAUUAAGGUGACCUAAUCUAAAGUUUUUUAUUUUGAACAGAAAAUACUAAUGCACUGUAGCUCCUUUCCCUGACUCCAUGCAGAUUCUCUAGUGGUUCUCCUCUUCACAGUGUUUCCUGGCUCCUGUGUUACUGGGUCAUUGGACUGGUAUAGACCUCCGACCUGAAAUGCCUCCCUGCAGCUCUCGCUCCCUCUCUCCAGGUAUGUGAACCCCUCCCACCCUUUGCCUCCCAACACCCAUUGCCCUGUCCAUCCCAUCAUGGGGCGGGGGCUCAGAUGGAUAGCGAGGCAAAGCGUAGCCUCCCAGACGGCCUGAUUUAUUGUGCCUCCUUUCCAUCUAGGCAGAGUGGAGACCCCUAGGGGUACCGUUUGGUGUGCGCUGGGAACAUCCGCCAUCUCAGACCUGAUGGCCUAAGGCCCCCAGUCUGCCGUGAUGCCAAGUACCAAAUAGUGACUCCAGAAUGGUUGCCAUUUGUCAUAUAUGCUGCCUGGGACCUGCCUAAAACAGUGGAAACACAGAGAGCAGGAACAAUGAAACUUCCUCCCUCGUCUAUUGCCACAGACAUUGAUCUUCACUGCAACAAUUUAUUAUAUCACAUCUGCUAUGGCUAUUACAGCAUGCUAUUUGAUGCGUUUACUAAAAAUAUAGCAACAUCAGAGGCAACAGAAAGCCACAUUUUAUGUACUGUAUUAACAUGUUUAUCUAUAAAUACCUCUAAGGCUGUGCAGCAACAGAACAUCUCACAACCAUUGAACUUAACUCAAUCUACAUUUUCAGGAAGCAUUGAUCUAUGCUGUUAUCCUUUUGAAUAAUCCAUUCUUAUUUGACGCUAUUGAUAGAUGGCAGCAUGUGUGCUGGGAGAAAAGAAUGAGAAUGAGAAUAUGACAAAGUUGCAUAAGAAGAUUUUGGCCCCUUUGGUAGCAUGGCUAUUAUAUUAUAACUUUGUGUUUAGCAACAUUAGCAUCAUUUUGUAAUUGUCUUUUCCAACGGGCUGACGAAAAACAACCAACUCAUUGGAAAAAUGGUCACGGGAGAAGGGUAGAUGUUAAAAGAAAAGUUGUGGACUAAACAAUGUGCCUGUAUCCCGACUCCAGUUAUUAUUGUGUGUUAAGGGUUCAGAAAACCCUCAAAUGAGGCCUCACUCUUUUGUUCUCGUCCCGGUCGGAAAUGAAGAAUUGAAAGAGUCAACUUGCUCAUUUAAAAAUCUAAAAAUAUUUAAUAACUGAACAAAGUGAUAAGGAAUACAGUUAAAGUGAAAUACAAUGCGAACAGUGGAAUAUUUCGCAAAAUAGAGAAUUCUCUGACCAAGUCUGAAGUGACUUUUCAAAGCGGCUGCAAGAGAAUUCUAACAGUCCUUUCCCUCGGGUGUAGUAGUCGUUGCGGGCGGAACGACCGACGGGGGGGGUAGUAGUCGCGUGCUCUGUGUUCGCUGGUCGUGCACGGUAAAAUGACAAGAAAAACGCCUGGUGACGCGUAGAUUAGAAAACAAGUCAGUUCUCAAUGUGAAAAAAACAUAGGUAGUACAUGAGUGUUCCUUUAACUUAUGUUGUCAGUGUAAUUGACAGGCUGCUUAACUGGUUGACUCUUAAAUUCAACAUAUUUUUUCAGGCAGUGAGAGGACAGGCAAUGAUGCAGAGAGCACAGGGAGAGGAGAAACACCAGGUCCAAUAGAGAGAGGAGAAGCACAGAGGAGCCAUGAACCCCAGAACGCGUGUUCUGGGGUUCAUGGCUCCUCUGUGCAAGGCACGACCUGACGUGAAGGACAAGAAGGCCCUCUGGGCACUACUGUAAAAAGGACACUCCGUAUGUAGAUAGUUCUUAAUCUGCAAUUGUGUUGUUGUGUUGACAUACUUUUCUUUACUGUUUUCUUAAAUUUAAUAAACUACAAACUACUAACACAUUUAUUCAUUGUCAUUGAUUGUAUAUGACUUUUACUGAUAACAUAAUGCAAUAUAGCCAGGACAGCCUUACAGAGUCGCAACGCUUUGUGUUGCGUUGCUUCGCAUUGCGUCGAGGUCUGUAUGAUCACAAAAGAGUUUACCCACCUAUAAUUUUACCACUACAGCACUGGUGGGCACCUUGCCAAAGUGCAAAGUCACGGUUAUGUUGACAAAAAAAUACGGAUUUAAUCCAUGAUAGUCAUGCAAGCCUUUAUGGCUUGGUUUGUGAAUUUGUAUUGUUUGUAUUUUUGAACUAAGUUGUCAGGCAAAAAUGUAGACAUGUGGAGAUGCUUGCUUCAACUUAGAUUGGGAAAUAAAUUGCAUUGCUUGUGACAAAAGAAGCCACACGUCUGCCUGUGUCAUUCAUUUCUAUUUUUCUUAGUUCGUCUCAUGCACAAGUCUGUCAUCGGGCUCUCUCAUCCUGAGUCUGUUACAGUAGUCUUCUCAAAACACAUCUGUAUAAGCCAAUAUGAUGUGUGUCGGGAUCUGAUUGAUGGGUGGGUCAGCCUAUAUAGGGUAGGAACCUUUGGGGGAUCGGCAGGUGUUUUCAGCCGGGAUAGAAAAUAACGUUUUUGACUGCACGCUGGGUAGUGUCAUGUAACGCACGCUGGUUGAAUGUAUGUCAAACGUAUGACAAGAAUAAGUUGGCAAAUGAAUGGACUCGUUUGCAACGUAACAAAAAAGGCUACAGGACUCUCAAUUAUCCGUCAUGGUACAACGGCGGUGCGUCAAUUAAGUUUCCAGUGGCUUAAAGCGUUGGCUUAGCCUCCACACCAUCUAAAAGAAUAUACUCAUUGCCAACCCUUUGAUUGGAGGACGACUGUACUCAGUCGCCCUGUGGGUCAGACUGUGAGACUGUGUUAAACUGUCUCGGCCCUCUACGUUUUUUACUUCGGCAGAGCCAAAUGAACACUGUUAGAUUAGAUUUUUAACACUUUAGAAGAGUGUAUAAGGGUCCACACCACAAAGUCUUGAUUUCACUCUAUUUAGAGAGUUGGCACUUAAUUCUUACUAUUUUGGCAGUUUAAAUUCAAUUCUCUGUAACACUAAGCAGUGUUCAUUUUUCCUAACACUUGUUUGUAGUGUUAACAAUUAACUCUCUUAAGGGAUGGUUUGUUAACUACUAGUGUCACUCCCAUUUUAACUCAAUGGAGGUAUACAUCUGUCUCUUUACAAAAAAUACUUCGAAAUUAAGGUUUGCUAAAGGAAAAGUGUAAUUUUUGUUUUAUAACAUUUAUUUUCAAACUAGUGCUUCACAUCAACAUGUUAAAAAUCUUUUCAAAACAUUCAACAAUAUGGAACAAUGUAUGCUUUGUCACUGCCAUUAGAGUAUUGCUUAUCAAAAGGUUUAACAUACAUCAGUGAGUCAAUACAAAUCAGAACAUGUUCAUUACUUUGCUCCUCCAUACUGUAGGCAUUAAAGUGUUCAUCAAAGUACAGUGUGUUAACAGUGCAAGCAAUUAUACUUGUGUAGGAUCAUAGAAUUGUUGCUGCUCACGCAUGCAAACACAUACAUAUACAAAAAAGUCAAACACAAAAAUAUGAUUGUGUCAUUUCUGACCACAUGUCUACGUGUUGCAUCUGACAGCGUUUUAGUUUUGUCAUACUCUGAAGAUUUCUUCACCCUUUGGAUUGGAUCUGAGAACAGUAGCAACCUUCUGCAAAAGAGAAAAAAAUCCCCCAAUUACCUUCACUCUUAGGUAAAUUAAAAUGUAUUUUAGACAGUAGGCUUUGUUUAAUUAAAUUCUGCUAAAAUACAUAAAUCUUUAAACUCAAAAUAUUUUUUAACUUAGUUUCAAAGUUUACCUGUCCUUCAUUGGGAUCCAGCUCUGCCAGGCCCCUUUUUCUGUUAUUUGUGAAUGAGAGGAUAAUAUUGAAAUCUGAUGAAAUGGAGGAAGCUGGUGAUGCUAGGUCGGCAGCAAUGAGGGCUGUGAUGCUUGAUGGUCUGGGAACACCAAUGUCUGGGGUUCAUCUGACACAAAAUAAUCCACAAGUUUAAAAACUGGUGCACAAAGGAACAAAAUAUACAUUUUCAUAUGCUGAUUAAUAAAAAAGAUUAUUUAGAUAAAACUAUUAUGCACAUUUGACCAAGAGUGAAUCAACUCCUUGACAUUAUUAAGUAACCAUACCUGUUACUGUACUGCCAAUUAUCAAUCUUGAAUUUUUGGACCUGUGACUUUUUCUGACUCAUCAAAUAUGUCUGCAUCGACCUCAGUAUCUGAUGUAUCAGUCAAGAUUAGCCCACCUUCACUGAGAUGUUGAGCCUGCAGACAAAUUUUCUCCGUCGGUAGAGAUAGAGAAAUUAAAAAGAAAUGUCAUUAAAUUAUCAUACAGAUUAUGUAAGCUUUUUGAGUGCAUAAAUUUGUAGUUUACAAAUGUAUGCAUGAUAUAUGAGACAAACCUUCUUGAAGAAACUGGAGGAAAUCAAAGAUGUCAUCCUUUUGGGGUUAGUUGUUGUUAGUUAGAUUCUGUAACGUUACCACAAGAAAUAUCAGAUUAGGGGAGAGCGGGGUAGUGUGAGACAUCGGGUAAUGUGAGAGACCCACUGUAUCAAGGCAACGGAACACAUUUGUGGUCAUGUAACCAUUAUGUUUUCAAGCCCCUCCAAGGAGAAGUUUGUGCUGGUGCUGUGGUAAGUAUGUUUUUUUCACAAAAAUGUGUACUUUGCAUGUAUUUUCUUGCUGUGAACUUAAUCAACUGUUGUGUGAAAACCGAUUGAUUCAGGCAGAAAAUAUGCGAUUAGUGUCUUGCAUGCUGGCGGUUGUGUAAUUCAACCAUAGAUUUGUAUCAGUUUACCCUGUGUCUAUGCCAGUGAAUUGGGCAAGAAAUGUUUCUUUUAAGUGUAAUUUAAGCGUCAAUGGGUCAUUUUGUUUGCAUUUGGGAUCAGCUUUUACCAGAUGUGGCUUUAGCUGCGGUCGAGGAUUGUAGCCCCACUCUGUUCCAGUAUUGCUAUUCUGCCAUCGUCAUUCCUCACAGUUGCAACCAUAUCUGAUUUUACUUUUCUGUAAAUAUCCCUUUUUUUACCACAGACAGCAGCACAAGCUCCGGUCAUACAAACACAUUUUUACACAUAUCACAUUUCAUUCUGAACGCAACGUACCGCUGAACAGAAAUUGUAUUGAUGCUAUAACUUCUUUUGUGAAUGUGAGAUUUUUGGGCACAAUCUGAGUCUAUUGAGCUGUUUAGGAAGGUAUUAUCACAGGUAUGGUAAAUGUGAAAUGGGAACCACUAUAAUUUCACAUUAGAUUAAUGGUUUAGCUUUCAGCUCCCUAGGCUCUCAACUAUUGCGCAACACAUGUAAUGGCUAAAAGGAAAAACAGUUUUACGGCUUUAAAGAAAAGAAGAAACAUGCGGUAUCCCAGAUAGCAAAAGUACUCCGCUCCGGAUCCGCCGUGGAGAUAUCAUAAACUCCAGAACAGAUCCACAACAACGGUCCAGGGCAGGCUCCAGAAGCAGAGCGGAACUGAUCCGGAACGUAUCAUGGUCAAAGAUCAGAUCCGGCCCGUGUCCAGCUUAACUUCGUACCGGAUGUCAAAGAUAAAGAUCCACUCUGUCCAGGAUUUGAAAGGAUCUGCAAAUUUCAAGUCAAUCGGGCAUUGGGGGAAAAAUCACGCCGUCCCUCGUGCUACGCUGGGACACUCUGACCACAUCAUGGUCCACUUGAUUCCUGCAUACAGGCAGAAACUAAAGCUCUGCAAACCUGUGGUGAGGGAAUUCAAGAAGUGAACCAGUCCAGUAGACCUGGAGGAUCUUCAGGCAUGCCUGGACUGUACAGACUGGGAUGUUUGCAAGACUGCUACCAACAGUCUGGAUGAGUUCACAGAGACAGUACCUUCUGUGAGGACAGCUGCGUACACAGCAAAAUCCUUAGAGUUCAUUUUCCGGUGUUUUUUUCUGGCAAAAGUGCAGUGUUGAACUCACACUGCAAAAAGUUGAUUCAACUGUUACAGAGUCAACUGUACGAAAGAGCUGGAGUCAUAACCCAGUGUCAAUGACUUGGGUUUUUAACUCUGCAUAGAGUAUUUAACACUGAUCAGAUUUAUUAUUUAGAUUUAUUUGACACUUAAAGUACAGUUAAAUCGACUCUUUGAUGGGUUUGAAAUGUAAUUCUACACCACUGUCACACUUCUUCGUGUUGGGUUUAACUCGUACAGUGUAUUUAACAUUUGAUUAGAUUUAUUUUCUUAUUAUAUUAUAUAAUAUAUUAUAUUCCUAUUCCGAGUUAAAUUUUUAACACUUUGAGUUGAUUUAACACUGACAAGAUUGGGGCAAUAUGAACACCAGCGUAGAGUUACAUUUGAAUCUCAUAGAGUCAAUUUAACAGAAAGAGAAUACAGAAAUUUGCUCUGUACCAUCAUGCACCAGGGUAGUUAUGACACAGAUAAACUCAGAAAACUACGACUUCAGAAGGAUCAGGCAUUUAGGAGUGGGGACAAAACUUGUACACAGAGUCAAAAUACACGGUUAGCUAAACGACUGUACUCUGAGAAACAACAACAUGUUCUCAGUGUCUCUGCUUCAGUUUGGAGAGGCCUUAAACCCCUCACAAACUACAAGCGAAAAUCCCCCCACUCCAUGAAUGACCUCCCCCUAGCAGACGAGCUGAACGGGUUCUACUGCAGAUUUGAUAGUCAAUGUCCUGACUCCAUACCCACAGGUCCACUCUCCUGCCCCAGACCCUCACCCCUCCCUCCCCCCGCCGAUCAGAGGCUCACGCCUCUGUAUCAGCCUCCACUCCUCCAUCCCCCUCACCAGCAACAACCCUCUCUAUUCUGGAGAGAGACAGGCUCUUUAAAAGACAAAACCCUCGCAAAGCAGCCGGUCCGGACUCCGUCUCCCCCCUGAAGCAUUGUGCUGAUCAGCUGUCUACGGUGUUCACAGACAUCUUUAACACCUCCCUGGAGACAGCCUGCUUCAAGACAAGACCUCUACCAUCAUACCUGUUCCCAAGAAGCCCAGGAUCACAGGACUCAAUGACUACAGGCCCGUCGCCCUGACCUCUGAAGUCAUGAAGUCUUUUGAACAGCUAGUCCUGGCCCCCUGAAAACACUCACUAACCCCCUCCUGACCCCCUGCAGUUCGCCUACAGAGCCAACAGAUCUGUAGACGAUGCUGUCAACAUGGCCCUCCAUUUCAUCCUCCAGCAUCUGGACUCCCCAGGAACCUACGCCAGGAUCCUGUUUGUGGACUUCAGCUCUGCUUUCAGCGUCAUCAUCGCGUCUCUGCUUCAGGACAGACUCUCUCAGCUGCACGUGCCCGACUCCACCUGCAAGUGGAUCACAGACUUCCUGUCUGACAGGAAGCAGCACGUGAAGCUGGGGAAACAUGUCUCAGACUCUCGGACCAUCAGCACCGGUUCCCCCCAAGGCUGCUUCUUUCCCCUCUGCUCUUCUCCCUGUACACCAACAGCUGCUCCUGCAGCACCAGCACCAGUCCAUCAAGCUCCUAAAGUUUGCGGAUGACACCACCCUCAUUGGACUGAUCUCUGGUGGGGAUGAGUCCGCCUGCAGGUGGGAGUCUGACCAUCUGGUGACGCAGUGCAGCCAAAACAACCUGGACCCUCCAGGACUUAUUCGCUUGCAGGACCCUGAAGCAAGCCAAAAAGAUCGUAGCCGACCCCUCUCACCCCAGACAAAAACAGUUUGUGCCCCUUCCAUCUGGCAGGAGGCUGAGGUCCAUCGGGACUAAGACCUCCCGCCACACAAACAGUUUCUUCCCGUCGGCAGUCACUUUCUGUUCGCUGGUGCACAUUAUUUUUUAAUAUUAAAUAUUUUUUACAUUUAUUACUUUAUUUUAAAACUAACCCAUGGCCUUAUACUACUAACCCAUAGCAUUAUAUUUUAUUUUAUUCCUUGUUCACUGUUGUCUUGUCGUCUAUUGUCGUGAUGUCUGCUGUUACGCACCAAAUGGCAAGUUAAAUUCCUUGUAUGUCUGACAUAUUAUGGCAAUAAAUGUUUCCUGAUUUCUGAGGGAGAGCACAAAGACGUUAGGAGAGGGUAAUGUUGGGUUAUGAUUAGAGUAAUAUGAUUAAUAUUUAAAAUGAUGAUGAUGAUGGCAGCAGUAGGUGCCAGCAGGGCCACAGCAAGUGUCAGGAACAACAAGUAACCAGCAUCUACGAAGCGCAGCUGCCUUGUAGGGCAAUACAAGCUCUUUAAGAUAAGGCGGUGCCUCACCAGCAAGUGCCUUGUAGGUGAGGAGAAGUACCUUAAAUUCUACUCUUGAUUUAACAGGGAGUCAGUGCUGAGAAGUUAAUACAGGAGUAAUAUGAUCCCUUUUCUUAGUUCUUGUUAAUACACGUGCUGCAGCAUUCUGAAUCAACUGGAGAGGCUUAAGAGAUUUACAAGAGCAGCCUGAUAACAAAGAAUUACAGUCUUGAAGUAACAAACGCAUUAACUAAUUUUUAUGCAUCACUUUGAGACAGGACGUUCCUGAUUUUCAAUAUAUUACGUAGAUGAAAAAAGGCAGUCCUUGAAGUCUUUUUUAUAUGAGAGUUGAAGGACAUAUUCUGGUCGAAGAGAACUCCAAGAUUCUUGUCGGUGCUGCUGGGUACCAGAGCAAUUUCAUCCAUAAAAACUGUAUCACGUGACAGCUGACUUCGAAGGCGCUCUAGGCCUAUCAAGAUAACUUCUGUUUAGCUUCUGAAUUUAGCAUUAGAAGUUGCCGGUCAUCCAAGUUUUGAUGUCUCCAAGACAUUCUUGAAGUCCAACAAGCUGGUCUGUCUCUUCUGCUUUGAUCGACAGAUACAGUUGAGUAUCCUCUGCAUAAUAAUGGAAGUUUAUGCAGUGUUUCCUGAUAAGAUCGCCCAAAGGAAGCAUAUAGAGGGUAAAUUACAAGUACAGAACCUUGUGGGACUCUGUGACUAACAUUGGUGGUCUUCGAGGAUUCACUGUUUACAAGCCCAACUGGGAUCAAUCCGAUAAAUAGGAUUUAAACCAGCUGAGUGCAGUUCCUUUGAUACGAAUCAAAUGUUCUAGUCGUGGAUGCCACGCCACACCCAGGCUGUUGCACAAAAACUCUUGAUUUUGACUUUGGACUGAAAUUUAUCGGGUUCAAACUCUCGGAGGAGUUUGUUGGUUUAUAAAUUAAAAAUACGGAAAAACAAGCAAAUACUUAGUGAUUGACUGCAGCGCCCCCUAGUGUUUAAAUAUUCUGAAAAUAUUGGGCUAUUUUCAGUGAACAUAUAUAGAUUUUUUGAGGACAGUACUUUUGAAGUUAUGUCUUUAAUUAUUAAGUCACACCGCUUAGAACUUUAGUUUAUAAUUGUAAAACCCAAUGAGAUAUCAACAAGUUUUACCUUUAGAUGACAUUAAGCCAAUAAAAAAAUUGUGAGAAUCGGACCCAAAAAUGUAUUUUUCACAAAAUUCUAAAUGGCGUAAAAUCUAGUUAGGGGCAUUAGCAUACCAUGUCCAAGUGCACAUGUGUCCAACUUUUAAAGUCUAUCGGUGUAACAGAAAAAAUCUCGCCAGAGGGAGCUCUCCUAGGGAGAGCUAGAGAGACAUUUUUUUCAUACCCAAAUGCGCAAGCAGAAAAAUAUCUUCUGAUUUGAAGAGGUUUUGAAUACGGGAAAGGCCUCAGAGAUGCGAUUGAAGGAUGAAAAAAUAACAACAUAAUACGGCUUUGUCCCACUUUCAGUCGUCUCAGGCCCUAAAAAUGGUUUAUUUGCUUGUGUUCUUUUCUGCAUCAGAAUUGUUCAUCAUGUAAAGGCAUUUCUAAAACAUGGCUAGUGCAAUAUUACUGUUGCAGAGAGGAUUUCUGGCCAAAAUGGCGAACCUUGUUGUUGAAUUUCCCUUUGGACAGUAGUUGUGAGCUACAGAAUCAUAUUCUAGUUAACUAAAAGCAAAACAUGUAUUCUAUACAUGACAGAAGGUAUCGGCAAUACAAUUUCAGGGGACCGAGCAUCAAAUAUGUAUAGAUGGCAGGGAGCGGUGAGAAGUGAGGGACAUUGGGUCAUUGAUAUUCCAGCGACUCUUUCAGUCGAAGGUAGAGGGUUGAGAGGGGGGGGGGGACUCAGAAUCAGCCCAGCAGACCCAGGAAAGCUUAUUGGGAUAGAAAGGGAGCCCAGUCACUCGGCUUAGACAGGCUCAAUGCAAGGCUCAACUCAUCAGACGCCUGUCAGACAGACACCUGCCGUAGUGAGAGCAGUCACAUACACUGUAUGCGUGCACUCACACACACACACACACACACACUCAAAAAAUGCACUUUUCAUCUUACACAAGGUCCACCCAGUAUUCCCAUGCAUGAGUUUCAUAAGGCUUUGUGCUACAAGGAAACUGUGUAUCCACAGUGUCAUUUUUCCAUAUUUCCAUUUUCUGAUUAUUUCUUUUGGGUGGAAGAUAGUGAGGGUAGGUUGUGUGAAAAAAAGUUCAAUCACUCUUUUUCUUUUCCUAUAGGUGUAUAAAUUGGAUACUAUACACCAGCCUUUGGGUGAGGUGAGCAGUCUUGAUUGGAAGUGGGAAUUACUUGUAUCUUCUUACCACACUUUAAGGCCGAGAAAAAAAAUCAAAACCAAAUAUUUAAUGGUUCUUGACACAAAAGGCAUUUCGACCAAGCAGACACACGUAUAUAUACACACUACUUUAUGUGUAUAUAUAUAUAUAUACCAUGUACGUCUGCAUAUAUUCACUCUUUAUGUGUGUAUGUUGUUGUGAUUUCUGAAUGCCAACUCUGUUUCCCUAUAAAAUGAUAUUCUCAUACAACUAAACUGCACAAUUAAUUUCUUUUUACUUUCUAACUUAUUAAUAUGAAACUGUUUGAGGCGUAUGGUAAGGUUUUGUCACGGUUUCAUCAAGGUUUCGUGGUCGUAGUGGCGGAGGGGGUAGAGCGGGUACGCGGGAACCGCAAGGUUGGUGGUUCAAGUCCUGGCUGCCACAUGUUUCAAGUCGAAGUGUCCCUGAGCAAGACACCUAACCCCUAAUUGCUCCCUGGGCAAAAUGUGAAAAUGCCAUGGGUUUAAAGUGUAAUGUAAGUUGCUUUGGAUAAAAGCAACAGCGAAAUGACCUGUAAUGUAAUGUGUAGUUAUAACAAAACACUGUUUUUUCCCAGAUGUUGUCACACUGUUGAAGAAGUUUUUGGACUUUGAGUGGCACUUCAUCUAGGUAGGUCAUAUCUGUCUAACCACUAUGAUCUCUUUUUUAUGUGGUCCUGUAAAACAGCACAAUCUACUUUUUCUAGUUUUUACUCAGCACUAUUCCUUCCACUA